Molecule: transfer RNA, 72 nt
Organism: Rhizopogon vinicolor AM-OR11-026
Lineage: Eukaryota; Fungi; Basidiomycota; Agaricomycetes; Boletales; Rhizopogonaceae
Rfam family: tRNA
About the family: Transfer RNA (tRNA) molecules are approximately 80 nucleotides in length. Their secondary structure includes four short double-helical elements and three loops (D, anti-codon, and T loops).
Source: Rfam
GGCUGGAUGGUCUAGUGGUUAAGACAUCCCCCCAGAGUUGGGAACACCUAGGUUCGAGUCCUAGUCCUGCCA